Rhinopithecus roxellana (golden snub-nosed monkey) is the source of this 203-nucleotide long non-coding RNA. RefSeq lists it as uncharacterized. The record is from RefSeq and is a predicted model, not a curated record. The transcript is spliced from 3 exons. Lineage: Eukaryota; Metazoa; Chordata; Mammalia; Primates; Cercopithecidae.
UCCGCCCACCUCAACCUCCCAAAGUGCUGGGAUUACAGGCUGGGCUCUGCAAUUAUAAUGUAAUCCCUUCCCAAAGGUCCCACCUUCUAAUACCAUACCUUGAGGGUUACAACUUCAACAUAUGAAUUUGGGGUUGGGUUUGUGAUUAAGGGGCACAAAUCUUCAGACUAUAGCAGCUCAGGACAAAACAAAGGAGAUGUAAA